RNAcentral lists this ribosomal RNA (423 nucleotides) under uncultured bacterium. RNAcentral's name for it is "bacterial SSU rRNA". It matches the Rfam family "Bacterial small subunit ribosomal RNA", at positions 361 to 776 of the family's 1533-position model. The record is from RNAcentral.
AUAUUGGACAAUGGGGGCAACCCUGAUCCAGCAAUGCCGCGUGUGUGAAGAAGGCCUUCGGGUUGUAAAGCACUUUUGUUGGGGAAGAAGAAUAGUUGUUUAAGAGAUAGCUAUUUUGACGGUACCCAAAGAAUAAGCACCGGCUAACUCUGUGCCAGCAGCCGCGGUAAUACAGAGGGUGCAAGCGUUAAUCGGAAUUACUGGGCGUAAAGCGCACGUAGGCGGCGCGAACAGUCAGAGGUGAAAGGCCUGGGCUCAACCUGGGAACUGCCUUUGAUACUAGCGUGCUUGAGUCCGGAAGAGGGUGGCGGAAUUCCCAGUGUAGAGGUGAAAUUCGUAGAUAUUGGGAAGAACACCGGUGGCGAAGGCGGUCACCUGGUCCGGUACUGACGCUGAGGUGCGAAAGCGUGGGGAGCAAACAGG